UACCUGUGCAUCUAUACCUGUAUGCCUGAA
This 30-nucleotide non-coding RNA is filed under the name Mus musculus (house mouse). Lineage: Eukaryota; Metazoa; Chordata; Mammalia; Rodentia; Muridae. The record is from RNAcentral.